Molecule: ribosomal RNA, 374 nt
Filed under: uncultured eukaryote
Lineage: Eukaryota
Description: partial 18S ribosomal RNA
Rfam family: Eukaryotic small subunit ribosomal RNA
Source: RNAcentral
CAAGAGCGUAUGUCAAAGUUGUUGCAGUUAAAAAGCUCGUAGUUGAACCUUGGGUUUGGUUGGCCGGUCCGCUUUUUUGCGAGUACUGGAUUCAACCGAGCCUUUCCUUCUGGCUAACCAGUCGUUUCGGCGGCUGGCGAACCAGGAUUUUUACUUUGAGUAAAUUAGAGUGUUCAAAGCAGGCAUUAGCUUGAAUAUAUUAGCAUGGAAUAAUAGAAUAGGACGUUAUGGUUCUAUUUUGUUGGUUUCUAGGACCAUCGUAAUGAUUAAUAGGGACGGUCGGGGGCAUCAGUAUUCAGUUGUCAGAGGUGAAAUUCUUGGAUUUACUGAAGACUAACUACUGCGAAAGCAUUUGCCAAGGACGUUUUCAUUAA